This 809-nucleotide ribosomal RNA is filed under the name Hypogymnia apinnata. RNAcentral's name for it is "partial 12S small subunit ribosomal RNA". It matches the Rfam family "Bacterial small subunit ribosomal RNA", at positions 370 to 1145 of the family's 1533-position model. Lineage: Eukaryota; Fungi; Ascomycota; Lecanoromycetes; Lecanorales; Parmeliaceae. The record is from RNAcentral.
GUAUAGCAAUAGCUACUUGCAUCAUUGUAAAAAUGAUGCAGGAUCGACUAUGUCGAAUAAAAUUCUAGGUAGAAUUAUGAUAAUGACAUUGUCUGCCUAUGUGUCUUGACCAANUUACGUGCCAGCAGUCGCGGUAAUACGUAGAAGACUAGUGUUAUUCAUGUUUAAUCGGUUUAAAGGGUACCUAGACGGUAAAUCAAGCCUAAAAUUAAAUGAAGGGACUAAUUUACUAGAGUUACUUAUGAGGGGGUAUUAAAGUACUGCUGGUGUAGAGAUGAAAUUCUGUCAUACCUCUUUUCAAUAGAAAAACAAUGGCACAGGUAUAGGCGAAAGCAUCCCCUUAUGUGAUAACUGACGUUGAGGGACGAAGGCUUUGUGUAGCGAACAGGAUUAGAUACCCCAGUAGUCAAAGCAGAAAAUGAUGAAUGUCAUAGAUUAGAUAAAUAAGUUUAUUCUAUAAAUGAAAGUGUAAGCAUUCCACCUCAAGAGUAAUUUGGCAACAUUGGAACUGAAAUCAUUAGACCGUUUCUGAAACCAGUAGUGAAGUAUGUUGUUUAAUUUGAUGAUCCGCAAAAAACCUUACCACAAUUUGAAUAUUUAUAUUUUUUAUUGUUUUCUUUUUAAUUUUCUUCUGAUUUGAUUUUUCUAAAAAAAAAAAGAAAAAAAGAAAAAGAGGCGAUAUGAUAUAUUUACAAGCGUUGCACGGCUGUCUUCAGUUAAUGUCGCGAGACUUUGGUUAGUUCCAUUAAAUUAACGUAAACCCUUACUUUAUUUUUAUAUAGAGUAGUUCCCCGCUAUAUUGGAUAUGA